Molecule: ribosomal RNA, 474 nt
Filed under: uncultured bacterium
Lineage: Bacteria
Description: bacterial SSU rRNA
Rfam family: Bacterial small subunit ribosomal RNA
Source: RNAcentral
AAUCAACGCUGGCGGCGUGCCUAACACAUGCAAGUCGAGCGAGAAAAGGGGGGCAACUCCCUGAGUACAGCGGCGCACGGGUGAGUAACACGUGGGUAAUCUACCCUGGAGUGGGGAAUAACACCGGGAAACCGGUGCUAAUACCGCAUACGAUCACGGAGUCUGCGGAUUUUGUGAUGAAAGGAGCAAUUCGCUCUAGGAGGAGCCCGCGGCUGAUUAGCUAGUUGGUGAGGUAAUGGCUCACCAAGGCAACGAUCAGUAUCCGGUCUGAGAGGACGGUCGGACACACUGGAACUGAGACACGGUCCAGACUCCUACGGGAGGCAGCAGUGGGGAAUUUUUGGCAAUGGGGGCAACCCUGACCAAGCAACGCCGCGUGGGUGAUGAAGUCUCUUGGGACGUAAAACCCUUUCGACGGGGACGAAGCCGCAAGGUUGACGGUACCCGUAGAAGAAGCCCCGGCUAACUCCGUGC